This 88-nucleotide transfer RNA is filed under the name Prevotella denticola. RNAcentral describes it as "tRNA-Ser". It matches the Rfam family "tRNA". Rfam says of the family: Transfer RNA (tRNA) molecules are approximately 80 nucleotides in length. The record is from RNAcentral. Lineage: Bacteria; Pseudomonadati; Bacteroidota; Bacteroidia; Bacteroidales; Prevotellaceae. RNAcentral also lists the same sequence under 24 other names.
GGAGAGAUGGUAGAGUGGUCGAUUACAACGGUCUUGAAAACCGUCGUACCGAGAGGUACCGGGGGUUCGAAUCCCUCUCUCUCCGCAA